GAAAUGCGAUAAGUAAUGUGAAUUGCAGAAUUCAGUGAAUCAUCGAAUCUUUGAACGCACCUUGCGCUCCUUGGUAUUCCUUGGAGCAAGCCUGUUUGAGUAUCAUGAAAUCUUCAAAGUAAAUCUUUUGUUAACUCAAUUGGUUUCUACUUUGGUAUUGGAGGUCUUUGCAGCUUCACACCUGCUCCUCUUUGUUCAUUAGCUGGAUCUCAGUGUUAUGCUUGGUUCCACUCGGCGUGAUAAGUUAUCUAUCGCUGAGGACACUGUAAAAGGUUGCCAAGGUAAAUGCAGAUGAACCGCUUCUAAUAGUCCAUUGACUUGGACAAUACUUUUAUGAUCUGAUCUCAAAUCAGGUAGGACUACCCGCUGAACUUAAGC
Molecule: unclassified non-coding RNA, 378 nt
Filed under: plant metagenome
Description: partial contains 5.8S ribosomal RNA, internal transcribed spacer 2, and large subunit ribosomal RNA
Rfam family: 5.8S ribosomal RNA (bases 1-105)
Source: RNAcentral